CUUCAGGCGACCAGCGGAAAACGCUCGGCAUAACCUCCCCUUUUCCUGGCAAUGACAUCAGUUCCAGGCCAGUCCGGUCCAUAGGGCUGCGAACCGCAUGGCUCGCCACGGCCGGAUUUGCGCUGCCUGCCGAUGCCCAGGUCUACUGGCCGAUGGACCCCGGCGCCACUUACUACCCGGAACCGCAGCAUCACCUGGAGCCGCGCCGUCCGCGCGUUGCCCGCGCCAAACCGAAAUUGCC
RNAcentral lists this unclassified non-coding RNA (241 nucleotides) under Hevea brasiliensis (rubber tree). The record is from RNAcentral. Lineage: Eukaryota; Viridiplantae; Streptophyta; Magnoliopsida; Malpighiales; Euphorbiaceae.